GGAAGGGACCACAGCUCCGCCGGCGGGGGGUCCGCGGAAGGGACCACAGCUCCGCGGGCGGGGGGGGCCGCGGAAGGGACCACAGCUCCGCGGGCGGGGGGGGCCGCGGAAGGGACCACAGCUCCGCGGGAGGGGGGGCCGCGGGAGGGACCACAGCUCCGCGGGAGGGGGGGCCGCGGGAGGGACCACAGCUCCGCGGGAGGGGGGGGCCGCGGAAGGGACCAGAGCUCCGCGGGGCGGGGGGGGCCGCGGAAGGGACCACAGCUCCGCGGGCGGGGGGUGGCUCGGUGGACCGCGCCGGCUGUAGAACAGGCGGAAGGGCCCCGAGUGUGGCCGCUGUCCCCCCGCUCUGUGCGGAGUGGAAUGUCCCAGCUCCUUAAGGGCCCGGGCCGCGGCGGAAGCGGCCUCUUCUCCGCGGCUGCUGUGGGUUGGUGCGUCCCAAACCCUGGCGCCGGGAGCCGGUGGCGAGGGCAAGCGAGCUGGUGCCUUUGUCAGGUUUGGGAGAUGUUUCCGGGGAGCUUAACUGGAGGGCAGCGGGCGGCGCCCCGGCGGCUUCGGACGGGCGCCGUGCGGGGCGGCGCACGCAGCAGGGCCGCGGCGGCACGUGCUUGCCCCGCAGGCCCGCCGCCCCCGGAGCCUGAGGUCGCCGGAGGCCGGGACCCCUUGGCUCGUCGUUGGGAGUGAGCGAACCCGAGAGAACUCGCACACCCACGGAAGAGGGCCAGGAGGAGCGGCGCCGCCCUGCGGAAGUGCCGUCAGAAGCGAUAACUGACGAUAAUUCCGGGCUGACUGCAGUCAACACGUGCUCAGGUGGCUGGUGCCCAGGCGUCAGUUGGUCGGGACUGACCCUUGCUUUCUAUAUUCACCCAGGUUGCAAAUGAAUGAACUGUGAGGAGCUGAGGACGGCAGUGAGUCGCACUGGCUGGUCGUGGAGAGGCUGUGUCCUGAGGAAUGACCUGGGCAGGCCAAAGCUGGUGGUGGGCAGCAGCUCAGCUUACCCUGGAAGAGGCUGUUUUUCCAGAUGGUCAGCCAUGCUGCAGCAGAGGCAGAAUUUGAAGUUCCAAGGACCAGUAGUCGGUCAUCAAUUUGGACUCCAG
Long non-coding RNA from Pipistrellus kuhlii (Kuhl's pipistrelle), 1097 nucleotides. RefSeq lists it as uncharacterized. The record is from RefSeq and is a predicted model, not a curated record. NCBI's taxonomy places the organism in Eukaryota, Metazoa, Chordata, Mammalia, Chiroptera, Vespertilionidae. The transcript is spliced from 5 exons.